GAUGAACGCUGGCGGCGUGCCUAAUACAUGCAAGUCGAGCGAACAGAUAAGGAGCUUGCUCCUUUGACGUUAGCGGCGGACGGGUGAGUAACACGUGUGUAACCUACCUAUAAGACUGGGAUCACUUCGGGAAACCGGCGCUAAUCCCGGAUAAUAUUUCGAACCGCAUGGUUCGAUAGUGAAAGAUGGUUUUGCUAUCACUUCUCGAUGGACCCGCGCCGUAUUAGCUAGUUGGUAAGGUAACGGCUUACCACGGCGACGAUACGUAGCCGACCUGAGAGGGUGAUCGGCCACACUGGAACGGAGACACGGUCCAGACUCCUACGGGAGGCAGCAGUAGGGAAUCUUACGCAAUGGGCGAAAGCCUGACGGAGCAACGCCGCGUGAGUGAUGAAGGUCUUCGGAUCGUAAAACUCUGUUAUUAGGUAAGAACAUACGUGUAAGUAACUGUGCACGUCUUGACGGUACCUAAUCAGAAAGCCACGGCUAACUACGUG
Molecule: ribosomal RNA, 497 nt
Filed under: uncultured bacterium
Lineage: Bacteria
Description: partial 16S ribosomal RNA
Rfam family: Bacterial small subunit ribosomal RNA
Source: RNAcentral